RNAcentral lists this ribosomal RNA (774 nucleotides) under uncultured Neocallimastigales. RNAcentral's name for it is "partial large subunit ribosomal RNA". It matches the Rfam family "Eukaryotic large subunit ribosomal RNA", at positions 26 to 637 of the family's 3401-position model. The record is from RNAcentral. Lineage: Eukaryota; Fungi; Neocallimastigomycota; Neocallimastigomycetes; Neocallimastigales.
CGCAUCUGUGCAUGCAGCAUAUCAAUAAGCGGAGGAAAAGAAACUAACAAGGAUUCCCCUAGUAACGGCGAGUGAAGCGGGAAGAGCUCAAAUUUGAAAUCUUAAAGGGUUUCCCUUUACGAAUUGUAGUUUAAAGAAGUGUUUUCUGUUGAGGUUUUGGUAAAAGUUCUUUGGAAUAGGACAUCAUAGAGGGUGAGAAUCCCGUAUUUGACCUUUACUUUCAACUUUGUGAUACACUUUCAAAGAGUCGGAUUGUUUGGGAAUGCAGUCCAAAAUGGGUGGUAAAUUUCAUCUAAAGCUAAAUAUUGGCGAGAGACCGAUAGCGAACAAGUACCGUGAGGGAAAGAUGAAAAGAACUUUGAAAAGAGAGUUAAACAGUACGUGAAAUUGUCAAAAGGGAAGCGUUUGACACCAGUGUUGUUUUUCUGCAAAUCAAUUAAAGAACUGUUUAUGCUAAGUUGUUUAGACUUUAUCAGCUAACUGUUUAGUUUUGAGCUUUUCUUUAAUGCACUUUUCAGUUAACAAGUCAACAUCAAUUUCUUUUGCUGUAAAAAAGCUUGAGGAAGGUGGCUUGAGAUUCGUCUUAAGUGUUUAUAGCCUCUUGCCUAUGCAGUCGGAGAGAUUGAGGUCUGCAGCGUAGAUCCUUCGGGGCUAAAUGCAUUUGUGCUAAGUUAUAACAUUUUAUAGACAACUUGUUGACUAUGAUUUGUCUUGUAGCUUACUCGCUUAUGUUAUUUUACCUACGCUUAGGAUGUUGACAGCAGUAUAGACUGU